Molecule: long non-coding RNA, 913 nt
Organism: Hyaena hyaena (striped hyena)
Lineage: Eukaryota; Metazoa; Chordata; Mammalia; Carnivora; Hyaenidae
Exons: 4
Source: RefSeq, a predicted model, not a curated record
AUCAUGACCUAAGUGAAAGUUGGACGCUUAACCGACUAAGCCACCCAGGCGCCCCUGCUGAGGAUUGUUCUAGAAAGAUAGGCCUCUGAACCAAGAGGAGCCACGGCCGAUCUGAUGCACCUGCUGGAGAUUCUGACCUUCCGAGCUGGGCGCUGAGCUGCCUGGAGGUUGCGCCCGGUCAGAGGGUAUGCUGUAGACAAUAAGUUAGAAAGAGAAAGCACGAGCGGGAGAGGGCCCGAAAGAGGGAGACAGCCAGAGGAUCUGAAGCAAGUUCCACGCAGUGAGCACAGAGCCCGACACGGGGCUCAAACUCAUGAACGUAAUUCUACUUCUGGAAACUCACCCUAAGGAAACCGGAGAUGUGAGCAAAACUGUAUGGAAGAAGAGUUUGUUUUAGCUUUAUUUGUAAUAUCAAAACUGGGAAGGACCUACAAUAGCAGCCGAAGAGUUACAUAAGGAAGAGAGUGUCUCCAGCCUCUGCCUGUUUGUUGAUGUGGUUUGUUCAGAUCAGACGGCUGCAGCCGAGGCACAGAACAUAGAUCUAACAGCUGGCAGGUUGGACGUCCCUGCGGCCACAACGCACCGACGCAUCCCCUGCUGGCCGCCCUCGGUGCGGCCGGGCCGGGCCAAGCUUCGCCUCCGUCUCGUUCCUUGGCCACGCGUGAGUCCUGGCUGCAGGGAUGCUUCACAUGGUCUCUUGGACACCGCACAGCAACAGCCUGACAUUUGGUUACAUAAAGUGCAAAUGAAUCACGAACACGUGGAUUGUAUUUCCGUUCAAAUACUCAGGGAUUUCGAUUUAUGGGAAACGGACGGUGGGCUGUACGAGUUAGCGCUGGGUUUUGGGAAAUCGCUCAGAUGGCUGACCAGAUCUUCAGUUCAUGCGUGUCCAUCUGCCGUCGCCCCAGGUUGU